UACGUAGGGUGCGAGCGUUAAUCGGAAUUACUGGGCGUGAAGCGUGCGCAGGCGGUGAUGUAAGACAGUUUUGAAAUCCCCGGGCUCAACCUGGGAACUGCAUUUGUGACUGCAUGGCUAGAGUACGGCAGAGGGGGAUGGAAUUCCGCGUGUAGCAGUGAAAUGCGUAGAUAUGCGGAGGAACACCGAUGGCGAAGGCAAUCCCCUGGGCCUGUACUGACGCUCAUGCACGAAAGCGUGGGGAGCAAACAGG
RNAcentral lists this ribosomal RNA (253 nucleotides) under uncultured bacterium. Its description in RNAcentral is "partial 16S ribosomal RNA". It matches the Rfam family "Bacterial small subunit ribosomal RNA", at positions 524 to 776 of the family's 1533-position model. The record is from RNAcentral.